This 468-nucleotide ribosomal RNA is filed under the name uncultured bacterium. RNAcentral's name for it is "partial 16S ribosomal RNA". It matches the Rfam family "Bacterial small subunit ribosomal RNA", at positions 28 to 507 of the family's 1533-position model. The record is from RNAcentral.
GACGAACGCUGGCGGCGUGCUUAACACAUGCAAGUCGAACGGAAAGGCCCUGCUUUUGUGGGGUGCUCGAGUGGCGAACGGGUGAGUAACACGUGAGUAACCUGCCCUUGACUUUGGGAUAACUUCAGGAAACUGGGGCUAAUACCGGAUAGGAGCUCCUGCUGCAUGGUGGGGGUUGGAAAGUUUCGGCGGUUGGGGAUGGACUCUCGGCUUAUCAGCUUGUUGGUGGGGUAGUGGCUUACCAAGGCUUUGACGGGUAGCCGGCCUGGGAGGGUGACCGGCCACAUUGGGACUGAGAUACAGACCAGACUCCUACGGGAGGCAGCAGUGGGGAAUAUUGCACAAUGGGCGGAAGCCUGAUGCAGCAACGCCGCGUGCGGGAUGACGGCCUUCGGGUUGUAAACCGCUUUCGCCUGUGACGAAGCGUGAGUGACGGUAAUGGGUAAAGAAGCACCGGCUAACUACGUG